GAUGAACGCUGGCGGCGUGCUUAACACAUGCAAGUCGAGCGAAGCACCUUAUUUGAUUUCCCUCGGGCCUGAUUGUUUUGUGACUGAGUAGCGGCCGGGUGAGUAACGUGUGGGAAACCUGCCUCGUACAGGGGGAUAACAGAUGGAAACCGCCUCUAAUACCGCACAAGCUCACAGCAUCGCAUGAUGUAGUGUGGAAAACUCCGGUGGUAUAGGAUGGACGCGCGUUGGUUUAGCGAGUUGGUGAGGUAACGGCCCACCAAGGAGACGAUCCAUAGCCGACAUGGGAGGGGGACCGCAUACAUUUGGAGGAAGAAGCGGACGAGAAUCCGACGCGAGGGGGCAGAGGCGAAUAGUGCAGCAUGGGGUAAAGCAUGAUGGAGCGACGCGGGGUAAGCGAAGAAGUAUGUCGGUAUGAAAAGUGCAAGCAGCAGGGAAGAUAAUGACGGUACCUGAACAAGAAGCACCGGCUAACUACGUG
This 481-nucleotide ribosomal RNA is filed under the name uncultured bacterium. Its description in RNAcentral is "partial 16S ribosomal RNA". It matches the Rfam family "Bacterial small subunit ribosomal RNA", at positions 28 to 507 of the family's 1533-position model. The record is from RNAcentral.